CUUCCAAAUCCCCAUUCUGAAACACAAUGAAAGAGAGUAUAUACAUCUUCAUACUCCAAACAAUAAAGGAAGAAGAUGAUUAAACUAAAUCGACAAAGUUCAAAAUCAUAAGACAGAGAUAGUUACGAUAAAAAAGAGAUACCCCUUUUAGAAUUAUAAUUUUCGUACAAUCCCUUCUCUAUUUUAACAAAAAUAAAAAAAUUAUCUUCAUCUUCACAAAUAAUUCAAAAAUAAUUGCAG
RNAcentral lists this long non-coding RNA (240 nucleotides) under Trifolium pratense (red clover). RNAcentral describes it as "long non-coding RNA (TPRA_LNC003859)". Lineage: Eukaryota; Viridiplantae; Streptophyta; Magnoliopsida; Fabales; Fabaceae. The record is from RNAcentral.